Molecule: ribosomal RNA, 429 nt
Filed under: Chloroflexota bacterium
Lineage: Bacteria; Bacillati; Chloroflexota
Description: Chloroflexi bacterium partial 16S ribosomal RNA
Rfam family: Bacterial small subunit ribosomal RNA
Source: RNAcentral
UGGGGAAUAUUGCACAAUGGGCGCAAGCCUGAUGCAGCCAUGCCGCGUGUAUGAAGAAGGCCUUCGGGUUGUAAAGCACUUUCAGCGGGGAGGAAGGCGUUAAGGUUAAUAACCUUGGCGAUUGACGUUACCCGCAGAAGAAGCACCGGCUAACUCCGUGCCAGCAGCCGCGGUAAUACGGAGGGUGCAAGCGUUAAUCGGAAUUACUGGGCGUAAAGCGCACGCAGGCGGUUUCUUAAGUCUGAUGUGAAAGCCCCCGGCUCAACCGGGGAGGGUCAUUGGAAACUGGGAGACUUGAGUGCAGAAGAGGAGAGUGGAAUUCCAUGUGUAGCGGUGAAAUGCGUAGAUAUAUGGAGGAACACCAGUGGCGAAGGCGGCUCUCUGGUCUGUAACUGACGCUGAGGCUCGAAAGCGUGGGGAGCAAACAGG